GCCUUGGCGGUGAAAUAAUGGUAGACAUGCGUGCGGGAUUCAGCAAAGUCUCGUGCUCGCAAGCAUGGGGUUCAAGUCCUCUUUGAGGCA
Molecule: transfer RNA, 90 nt
Filed under: Selaginella indica
Lineage: Eukaryota; Viridiplantae; Streptophyta; Lycopodiopsida; Selaginellales; Selaginellaceae
Description: tRNA-Leu
Source: RNAcentral